RNAcentral lists this ribosomal RNA (402 nucleotides) under uncultured bacterium. RNAcentral describes it as "bacterial SSU rRNA". It matches the Rfam family "Bacterial small subunit ribosomal RNA", at positions 355 to 774 of the family's 1533-position model. The record is from RNAcentral.
UGGGGGAUAUUGCACAAUGGGGGAAACCCUGAUGCAGCAAUGCCGCGUGAAGGAAGGAGGUCUUCGGAUUGUAAACUUCUGUCCUAUGGGAAGAUAAUGACGGUACCCCUAAAGGAAGCACCGGCUAACUCCGUGCCAGCAGCCGCGGUAAUACGGAGGGUGCGAGCGUUAAUCGGAAUCACUGGGCGUAAAGCGCACGUAGGCUGUUUGUCAAGUCAGAGGUGAAAUCCCACGGCCCAACCGUGGAACUGCCUUUGAAACUGGCAGACUUGAGUGUCGGAGAGGGUGGCGGAAUUCCAGGUGUAGGAGUGAAAUCCGUAGAUAUCUGGAGGAACACCAGUGGCGAAGGCGGCUUACUGGACGAUAACUGACGUUGAGGCUCGAAAGCGUGGGGAGCAAACA